Myotis lucifugus (little brown bat) is the source of this 2615-nucleotide long non-coding RNA. RefSeq lists it as uncharacterized. NCBI's taxonomy places the organism in Eukaryota, Metazoa, Chordata, Mammalia, Chiroptera, Vespertilionidae. The record is from RefSeq and is a predicted model, not a curated record. The transcript has 2 exons.
CACAUUGACUCCAGAAGGCACCUCCCCCACAGCAGGCUGGGAAGUUGCUUAACAGCCCAGGCUUUGGAAUACUGAUGCAACGAUGACAAGCACAGCUAACAUUCAUUGGACACCCCUUCUGCACUUGGCAUUGUGCUAAGUGUCUUAAUGCGGCCUCUCCUCUAAUCCACACCUAAUGCACAAGGUUCGGUUAUUGUCCCCAUUUUAUAGAUAAAGAAACGAAGCUCAGAGAGGUUAAGAAACUGGUCCCAGGAUACACAGCUGGUGAAACCAAGGCUUGGUGACAUUAAAUAACUUGCCUGAGGUCACAAAGCGAGAAACUGGCAGAGAAGCGCUUGUGUCAAUGCUGGUUUGGCUCAGAAGCUACUGCUCUUAGCCAGGGUGCUGCCAUGGUGACCGGCCUUUCCCAUUAGAGGAGAAUGAUGGCCAUUCAUGGGAGCGCCUGGGACAAGAUGAUCUGAAUGGCCGUCACUCGGUCAGGGUGGAGCACGGGCACCGGAACCUUGGCACUGCCUUGCCAAUAAUCACAGAUUCCCAGUGUGAGGAGGCGAGGUGUGCCAGGCCCUGCGCCCAGAGUUUUAGAUGCACCAUUUCAUUUAACCUUCGUUUUGCAGAUCAGGAAACUGAGGCCUGACAAGGUUACUAUUCUCACCUGUGAGUGUCAGAACUGAGACAAGAACCCAAGGGUUCCAGUCAUGUAUUGUUGGAUAACGAUGAACUCGAAAAGUUAGUGCUUAAAACGACAACUUAUUAUUUCUCAUGAUUCUGUGAGUCGGCAUUUGGGCAUGGCUCAGCUGGUUGGUUUUUCCGCUCCAUGUGGCGUUAGCUGGGGUCAUUCGCUUGGCUGCACUGAGCUGGUGGCUGGGUUGGAAGGGAAGGGCCAAGAAGGCUCUGUUCCCAGGCCUGGCGCCCCAGGGUCCCUCUGCAUGGCCUCCCGGGGCCAGCAUGGUGGCUUCAGGGAGCUGGAUGUCUUACCUGGCAGCUGGCUUUUGAAGGAAUAAAAGCAGAGCUACCAGGCUUCUGCGGAGCUCGAGGUGGAGUUGGCACAGUGUCACCUCCACCGAAUUCUACUGGUCAAGGAAGUCACAUGCCGAGGAGGAGGGAAUAGAUCUCUCCUCUUGGUGGGUGCAGCCGCUCAUACCGGGAUGCGUGAUGUUCAUGGCCACCCAUAGUGGGAGACUGACUACCACCCCAGCCUCCUCCCUGCCAGCCUCUCUCCCAGACCCUGGGCCUAACCCCAGGAAGCCCUCAUCUCCGCGGACCCACUAAAGCUGCCUAGGCCCCCACCAGAGGGGUGUGCCUAUGCGUUGUCUUACCUGGUCCUCCUGCCCAAGGACUUCUUCAUGCUCUGUGCCUGGCUUCGCAAGAAUUCACCUUCCCUGGUUUCUUCCAGGGCAGGCACCAUUUUUUCCGGCUUCCUGUGGCUGCAUCACCUGAGUUAGCCUGACGUGUUCUGUCCUCGGGACCCUGAAAGAACCUGGUACAUGGCUCACAGGUAGUCAGCCACCUGAACAAGACCGUAUUGGAUUCACCUUCGCAGGCCCAGCAUCAGCACCGGGUCUUCUAGAGAAGCUCGGUAAACAGGGCCUGCUGGCACCUGCGUUCACAGGCUUGGGCCUUGAACAAAGGAAGAGUCUUACUUCUCCAGGACCAGCAGCCUCAUCACCUGGGAAUACGGUUAGGAAUACGGGCCCUCCCUCCUUACGCACCCUGACCAGGGCCCAGGGCCGGGGAUGGAGCCUGAAACCGAGGUAUGUGCCCUUGACUGGAAUCGAACCCAGGACCUUUCAGUCCAUGGGCCGAUGAUCCAUCCACCGAGUAAACCGGCCAGGGCCAGAAUUUGUAAGUUCACAAAUACCCAGGUGAUUCUCAUGCGAGACAACGGAGGUCCUCAAGGUAAAGAAACAGGAGCAGGGUGGGAAGACAGGUGCCAGUGAGUCCCCCUGGGAAGAUAAGGCAUGGGUCUCAACCCUGGCUGAUGGUUAGAAUCACCUGUGGUGCUUUUAAAAAAUCCCGAUGCCCUGUGUGCGCCCAGAUCAAUAAGAUCCAGGUCUCUGGAAGUCGGGCCCGGGAUCAGGAUCUUAAAAGCUCCUCGGGUGAGUUCACCGUGCAGUGGGUUGAGAGCCGCCGGCUCAGUGUUUUAGUUCGUACAGUGCAGUCUGUGGGCCAUCGGAACCACAUCACUUGGGGGCAUGGAUUAAAGAUGCAGAGUCCUGGACCACACACCAUAUUGUGAGUCUACAUCUCCUGGGGUGGGGCCCGGAACCCACAUUUUUUAACCUUCUCUCUAGGUGAUUUAAACGGCACUGAAGUUAGAGACUGUGGAGUUCAGGACCCUGAAUAAGCAAUGACAAUGGCAAUGAUGUUUCUAAAUGAGAAAAUGUAGGGAAGCAAACACGAAACCAACAAACCUCCAUACUCCUCCUGCCUAGAGAGCAUCAGGGGCCCCUCUUGGCACCCCCUCUGGAGCAGGAAGGAGCCCCCCUGCCCCCCGCCCCCAGAGAAGCUGCCCAGGGCAGGGUCGGCGGUGGACUGGGCUGUGCUCUGCUGCAGGGUGGAGCCUGUCAUCUGGCCCGGACAGAAUUAUUGCCUCAAAUUACAUGGUUGAUUAUCAA